RNAcentral lists this ribosomal RNA (478 nucleotides) under uncultured bacterium. RNAcentral's name for it is "partial 16S ribosomal RNA". It matches the Rfam family "Bacterial small subunit ribosomal RNA", at positions 28 to 523 of the family's 1533-position model. The record is from RNAcentral.
GACGAACGCUGGCGGCGUGCUUAACACAUGCAAGUCGAACGGUAAGGCCCUUCGGGGUACACGAGUGGCGAACGGGUGAGUAACACGUGGGUGAUCUGCCCUGCACUUCGGGAUAAGCCUGGGAAACUGGGUCUAAUACCGGAUAGGACCACUGCCUGCAUGGGUGGUGGUGGAAAGCUUUUGCGGUGUGGGAUGGGCCCGCGGCCUAUCAGCUUGUUGGUGGGGUGAUGGCCUACCAAGGCGACGACGGGUAGCCGGCCUGAGAGGGUGACCGGCCACACUGGGGCUGAGAGACGGCGCAGACUGCUACGGGAGGCAGCAGUGGGGAAUAUUGCACAAUGGGCGCAAGCCUGAUGCAGCGACGCCGCGUGAGGGAUGACGGCCUUCGGGUUGUAAACCUCUUUCAGCACCGACGAAGCGCAAGUGACGGUAGGUGCAGAAGAAGGACCGGCCAACUACGUGCCAGCCGCCGCCGUAA